UCGAACGCGAAAGGGGCUUCGGCCCUGAGUAGAGUGGCGAACGGGUGAGUAACACGUGGGUGAUCUACCUUUGAGUGGGGGAUAACGUCCCGAAAGGGACGCUAAUACCGCAUGACGUUCUGGGUUUAAAGACCUGGAAACCAAAGCCGGGGACCGCAAGGCCUGGCGCUUGAAGAGGAGCCCGCGUCCGAUUAGCUAGUUGGCGGGGUAAUGGCCCACCAAGGCGACGAUCGGUAGCCGGCCUGAGAGGGCGGACGGCCACACUGGAACUGAGACACGGUCCAGACUCCUACGGGAGGCAGCAGUGGGGAAUUGUUCACAAUGGGCGCAAGCCUGAUGACGCAACGCCGCGUGGGGGAUGAAGGUCUUCGGAUUGUAAACCCCUGUCGAAUGGGACGAAAGACCCGGGAGCUAAUCAUCCUGGGAGUGACGGUACCGUUAAAGGAAGCCACGGCUAACUCUGUGCCAGCAGCCGCGGUAAUACAGAGGUGGCAAGCGUUG
Molecule: ribosomal RNA, 501 nt
Filed under: uncultured bacterium
Lineage: Bacteria
Description: bacterial SSU rRNA
Rfam family: Bacterial small subunit ribosomal RNA
Source: RNAcentral